AUUGAACGCUGGCGGCAGGCCUAACACAUGCAAGUCGAGCGAGCGGCGGACGGGUGAGUAUUGUAUGGGGACUGCCCGAUAGAGGGGGAUAACUACUGGAAACGGUGGCUAAUACCGCAUAUUGUCGGAUAACCCAUAUGUGAUUAGCUAGUAGGUAAGGUAAUGGCUUACCUAGGCGACGAUGUCUAGCUUGUCUGAGAGGAUGAUCAGCCACAAUGGGACUGAGACACGGCCCAGACUCCUACGGAGGCAGCAGUGGGGAAUAUUGAACAAUGGGCGCAAGCCUGAUGCAGCCAUGCCGCGUGUAUGAAGAAGGCCCUAGGGUUGUAAAGUACUUUCAGUCGGGAGGCGUUACCGGCAGAGGAAGCACCGGCUAACUCCGUGCCAGCCGCCGCGGUAAUAC
This 403-nucleotide ribosomal RNA is filed under the name uncultured bacterium. RNAcentral describes it as "partial 16S ribosomal RNA". It matches the Rfam family "Bacterial small subunit ribosomal RNA", at positions 30 to 526 of the family's 1533-position model. The record is from RNAcentral.